ACUAAAAUUAGAAACACUUUAAUUUGAAUUUUAUAGUAAAGCUUAAUGGCAUUUAUAAUUUUGAAAAAACUGAAGGGAUUUUCAUCAUUGUUCCCCUUCUUCUGCAACCUUGAAAUCUCCUAAGACUGUUGUGUCUCUGGAGGAUGAGGUGUCGACCUUUACAGUCCAAAUCCAGGUGACUGUGGUUGCUAGCUUGCUUUGUCUUAUUUAAAAUGGACCGUUUCUAGUUUCUAUUUCAAAAGAAAUAGACCAUAGAUAUAAGGAAAUGCACGUGUAGGGGGUCCAGUCUAUACUCCCAUACGGAAGAUAGUCAUGGUGGGUUAGUCUUCGAGACAGGAAAAAUACAAAGUGUAUGAUACCUUUCCCUUAGCAGGACCAGACUUCAGUCAUUUCAGUGGCUUAUGAGAAUCUGAGAGUCAUUUCUUAAAGGAUCUGAUUUCUUUUUUACUUUUCUUUUUUGUUUUAUUUUCUGUUUUUUGAGAUGGUUUCUCUAUGAAGCCCUGCCUGUCCUGGAACUUGUUUUGUAGACCAGGCUGGCCUCGAACUCAGAGAUCUGCCUGCCUCUGCCUCCCAAGGGGAUCAAAGGUGUGCACCACUACCACCAGGCCAAGGAUUCAAUUUCUUAAAGUAUCUUUUUCUUCAAAGAAAUCCAUGAAGGAAAGCAGUAGACAGUAAAUUCAAUCAUUGCAUUUAUUUUUACUGGUGUUUUGAUUUUUUUUUUACUUUUUCACAAACACAGAUUACAUAUGCAUUUAUUUUUGAAAUUGAAUUUCAGAGAGCACAGUUCAUCUUACCAGAUUCAUUUAAGGCAAAGUCAGUAAGGAAGUUUUUCUCCUCUAUCAUAAAUAUGGAUUUACCAUGAGGCAUGGCUUCCUUGAUUUCUCAAGCUCGUUUCUCGUGCCUCCUAAAUUCCUACUUUUCUUUUAUGCUAUCUUUCUAGCCCACAAUGCAGACUCUCUCUGCAGGUUCAGCCAGGCCUCCUCGAGACAAAAGGCUCUUGAAAAAAGAUACCCUAACACUUCCGUACCGGAUGCUCCAACUUCACACACACACACACACACACACACACACACACACACACACACACACACACACACACCAUACAGGAGUGUGGUAUGCUUUGGCAGAGAAACACAGUAAUUUUCCAAAUGGCCAGAGGAAGAGUGACUCACGAAUCCCAGACCAUGUGUUGCACACUGCAGUCCAGCCUGUCUAUGGCAUGCUGAUGUAAGUAGGUCUGCAAACAUCAUGAUACUGGAGAAAUGUAGGCUGAAUGAGUUAGUGGAGCGCAGAAACAGUAUUUCUCCCUCUGCCUCUCCUUAUUUGCACAAUACCAUCUAAUUUUUUUAAACAACCCAAAUCAUUGUAGGCCUCAAGUAGUACAAGAGUAGUUUUCAGACUCUGAGAGCCAUGUACAUCUGCAGUUCCAUGAGGGAACAGCCCCUCCUGGGGAGGCUCUCUUAAAGUCACUGAUCCCUUCAUUCAUCAUGUACAUAUGGAGAGUAAAACCUUAAUGACCAGCUGAAACCCAGAUUUCUGCCACCCAGAAGGCUAACACUUGUUCUCCCAUUGCUUGGAAGAGAUUUAUGACAGUCAUGAAGUUGACCUAGACAUGCUUCUGGGUUCUGAUGCUGCAAGCCCUAAAAACAAUUACAUUCCUACCGAAUUCUGAGGUUAUUUAUAAGACAGAGUCAAAUGAAGUGCUCUAGAGAGACAUCAACAACAUUCUUCUAUUGAGAGGUAUGUUCAGCAUGGAUAGAGUUUGUGAGCUCAUUGCCCAGAAGACUUUAAUUUCCUGCUGAAAAGUGCAUUUUGAUUAAAGACAUGGAACAGACACAUCCUGUGUACACUCCCUACAAGGAGACUUGACCCACCGAUUGGAGGCAAUUCAAUGACAAAGUUUGAAAAAUGGAUCUCAAGGGGCUCGGAUUGUUCAAGGUUAUCACAAAUGUACUACUUGAUCAGAGAUUUUUUUUUUUAAUUGUAGAUAACACAGAACGCAGGAAAAGUGGGAAGCCAGGCACAAGGCUAUUCAAUAUUUGGGGGCUGCCUCUGAAGGGGAGGAGAGCCAUAUGGCAGGAGGAUCCUCCCCCUAGACCAAUCAACAUGUCCUCAGCAUUCUGCCCCCUUCAGCCACAGCUUGUUCCCAGCGUCCUUCCUCCAUGAAUCAUGAGCAAUCCCAAGACAGGCAGGAUGGGAGCUGAAGACCACCAAGAGCUAACCCUUCUGGCAGAGAGAUGCUCUUCAGUUCUCAGACGACAGUGCCCAGGAUGCACAGACAGAACCCUGGUGCAUUCUUUGAGACAUACUCAGGAGAGUUGUGUCCCCGAAGUCCUGGGCAGCCCUGUCCUCUAGCUGGACUGGAUUUAGCUCCCAUGUCCAUUUCCCUGAACUGGAGUUUCACACUGGUGCCUGU
Molecule: long non-coding RNA, 2416 nt
Organism: Peromyscus californicus insignis
Lineage: Eukaryota; Metazoa; Chordata; Mammalia; Rodentia; Cricetidae
Exons: 3
Source: RefSeq, a predicted model, not a curated record